Molecule: non-coding RNA, 23 nt
Filed under: Cricetulus griseus (Chinese hamster)
Lineage: Eukaryota; Metazoa; Chordata; Mammalia; Rodentia; Cricetidae
Source: RNAcentral
UACGUUUUCACAUACUUACGACC